RNAcentral lists this ribosomal RNA (513 nucleotides) under uncultured bacterium. RNAcentral describes it as "partial 16S ribosomal RNA". It matches the Rfam family "Bacterial small subunit ribosomal RNA", at positions 28 to 507 of the family's 1533-position model. The record is from RNAcentral.
GACGAACGCUGGCGGCGUGCUUAACACAUGCAAGUCGAACGAAAAGAGGGAAAGAGCUUGCUCUUUCCGGAAUUGAGUGGCGAACGGGUGAGUAACACGUAAACAACCUGCCUUCAGGAUGGGGACAACAGACGGAAACGACUGCUAAUACCGAAUAAGUUCCAAGGGCCGCAUGGCCCAUGGAAGAAAAGGUGGCCUCUACCUGUAAGCUAUCGCCUGAAGAGGGGUUUGCGUCUGAUUAGCUGGUUGGAGGGGUAACGGCCCACCAAGGCGACGAUCAGUAGCCGGUCUGAGAGGAUGAACGGCCACACUGGAACUGAGACACGGUCCAGACUCCUACGGGAGGCAGCAGUGGGGAAUCUUCCGCAAUGGGCGAAAGCCUGACGGAGCAACGCCGCGUGAGUGAUGACGGCCUUCGGGUUGUAAAACUCUGUGAUCCGGGACGAAAAGGCAGAGUGCGAAGAACAAACUGCAUUGACGGUACCGGAAAAGCAAGCCACGGCUAACUACGUG